Molecule: ribosomal RNA, 214 nt
Filed under: Nicotiana attenuata
Lineage: Eukaryota; Viridiplantae; Streptophyta; Magnoliopsida; Solanales; Solanaceae
Description: rRNA LSU_rRNA_eukarya
Rfam family: Eukaryotic large subunit ribosomal RNA
Source: RNAcentral
GACAAGGGGAAUUCGACUGUUUCACUAAAACAAAGCAUUACGAUGGUCCCUGCGGAUAUUUACGCAAUGUGAUUUCUGCCCAGUGCUCUGAAUGUUAAAGUGAAGAAUUCAACCAAGCGCGGGUAAACGGCGGGAGUAACUAUGACUCUCUUAAGGUAGCCAAAUGCCUCGUCAUCUAAUUAGUGACAUGCAUGAAUGGAUUAACGAGAUUCCC